GUGGGGAAUAUUGGACAAUGGGCGAAAGCCUGAUCCAGCCAUGCCGCGUGUGUGAAGAAGGUCUUCGGAUUGUAAAGCACUUUAAGUUGGGAGGAAGGGCAGUAAGUUAAUACCUUGCUGUUUUGACGUUACCGACAGAAUAAGCACCGGCUAACUUCGUGCCAGCAGCCGCGGUAAUACGAAGGGUGCAAGCGUUAAUCGGAAUUACUGGGCGUAAAGCGAGCGUAGGUGGUUUUGUAAGUUGGAGGUGAAAUCCCCGGGCUCAACCUGGGAACUGCCUGCAAAACUGCAUGACUAGAGUACGGUAGAGGGUAGUGGAAUUUCCUGUGUAGCGGUGAAAUGCGUAGAUAUAGGAAGGAACACCAGUGGCGAAGGCGACUACCUGGACUGAUACUGACACUGAGGUGCGAAAGCGUGGGGAGCAAACAGGAUUAGAUACCCCGGUAGUCC
RNAcentral lists this ribosomal RNA (450 nucleotides) under uncultured bacterium. RNAcentral describes it as "partial 16S ribosomal RNA". It matches the Rfam family "Bacterial small subunit ribosomal RNA", at positions 354 to 796 of the family's 1533-position model. The record is from RNAcentral.